Molecule: transfer RNA, 74 nt
Rfam family: tRNA
About the family: Transfer RNA (tRNA) molecules are approximately 80 nucleotides in length. Their secondary structure includes four short double-helical elements and three loops (D, anti-codon, and T loops).
CGUAGAGUAGAGCAGUUUGGUAGCUCGCAGGACUCAUUAUCCUGAGGUCGCAGGUUCAAAUCCUGCCUCUGCAA